ACGUUCAGGUAAUCGCUGCAGUCUUUAGAUUGUAGAGGAAAGUCCAUGCUCGCACGGUGCUGAGAUGCCCGUAGUGUUCGUGCCUAGCGAAUUCAUAAGCUAGGGCAGUUCGUGUUUGAACUGACGGCAGGGAAAAAGCCUAAGUCCUUUGUGGAUAUGGCUUGACUACCUUGAAAGUGCCACAGUGACGUAGUCUUACAAGAAAUUGUAAGAGUGGAACGAGGUAAACCCCACGAGCGAGAAACCCAAAUAAUGGUAGGGGCACCUUCUUGGAGAAAAUGAACGAAGAGAAGGACAGAAACUUGUUUCUGUAGAUAGAUGAUUACCACCUGAGUACGAGGCUUUGCCGAUUGUAGUACGAUGGAACAAAACAUGGCUUAUCGAA
RNAcentral lists this RNase P RNA (385 nucleotides) under Metabacillus niabensis. Its description in RNAcentral is "RNase P RNA component class B". It matches the Rfam family "Bacterial RNase P class B". Rfam says of the family: Ribonuclease P (RNase P) is a ubiquitous endoribonuclease, found in archaea, bacteria and eukarya as well as chloroplasts and mitochondria. The record is from RNAcentral. Lineage: Bacteria; Bacillati; Bacillota; Bacilli; Caryophanales; Bacillaceae. RNAcentral also lists the same sequence under 1 other name.